UAUAGGACUGCAAGGAAACUCGGGAAUUAUUCAUGGUCACACUGGGUCUCAGCCUGUGGAUAAGCACAGGAUUUCAGUGUCCCUGCCCACCGUCGCAGGUUUGAAGAUUGAAGAUUAUGAUCAAUUUAACUUGUAUUCGUUGGCUGCCAAAUAAUUGCACUUUUUUCUCUGUGUAAGCCCCCCAUGUUUUAGUUGUAGUUUGGGAAGAAGGGCUUGUAAGUGGAGAUUAGCAAAGUCCUACUGUACACUUAUGUUCCAUUACUGUUGCUUCCAGGUCUGGAGGCGGCAUUAAGCACGCUGCCUGGCGUGUGUAGUGUCCCCUGCCCCUUGGAUGGAGAUUCUUCACUUCCAACAAGACCGUGGCACUCAGAAGAUUGCCUUCAGGCUUGUGUUUGCCAUCCUCUUCAGUGAUGAAGUCUUUAGCUCCAGCCUCUCUGUGUGCAGAUGACGAGGGCUUUGGACCACCGCCUGGGUGCUGUGGGUGAUGCACACUCCCCCUCGCCGGCAGCAUCUCACCUGCCACAUCGUGCCAGCCUGCUGCCAUGCCAGAGGCGUGCGGCGUGGCUGCCUAAACCAGCCAUCAAGAAACAUCAAUGAGAAGGGCAAACUGCUGUAAGUCCUGGAAGGCGCUGCUCCGCUGGGAAAAGGGCGCUGCUCCUGCAGGCUGCAGGGCUGUCCUCUGCGAGGGACCUUGGGAGCCUCAAAACGGGCUUGGAGCAAACCGUUCUCAUGCCCAGGAAAAUAUGGAAAAGAAAACUGGCAGCUGAGGUGACAAGUCACUGCAAAAGCAAGACAAAUGAAUUCACUGAAACUCUCACUGUGUUUCCCGUAAAUGAGCAGAAGAAAGGUUUGAGUGUUGCCGUGGUAAGUUAAGCUCUUUUUAUCAGUUUGUUCUCUCUUGCCCAAAUCCCUCGGUCACCUUUAACUGGGGGAAGAAGGGCAAAGGAACAGCAGACGUAAGGUACUGGUGGAUGGGAAUGUUAAGUGUUCCCUUUGCUGAGGCCAUCCUUUUCCCAGCUUGUCUUGCUGAGAGGCUGGAAGAGCUUUAGAGCCUUUUCUCCAACAGAGAUGCUUUUCCACCUAGGACUCGCGAUGGCUACGUGGCUCAGCACAGGAACCUGUCCGUGUGGCAGCCCGGUGUGAGCGGAGGCAGACGUCCUCGUUAAUGCCACAACAGAGCCAACCUACCUCUGGCUGGAAGGAAAUCCUAAAGGCAGGGCUUUAGCAAUCCAGAGGAGUCCCCUGUAAGCAGCACCCUGUCGAGGCAGCCGUGGGCAUGGCCACGGUAGGAGUACUGCGUGGUCCAAAGGGGAACGCGGAGGGAGGAAGGCACCCAGGGUUAAGGUGUGUUAAACAUGUGGAAAACUCUCCAGUGGAUUGCACACAACCUUUUGCAACCAAUACAAGUUGAAGAGAAGAAUUCCAAGUGCAAAUCUUCUAACCCUUGUUAAUCUCAGGCACUGCUUAUUUGUUGGAAGCAGUUCCCUCUGACAAUUGAAAUGCUUGGAAUUACAGUGGAUUGGUAACAAAAAAUGACAUGCUCACCAAAGGUAAGAGAUACCAUCUCCAAUUUCAUUAAUGCUGUGCGUUAUCUCUUACUGUUCCUCUUCGGAAAACAAGUUAUAAAAUCUGGGUUCUAACAGGUUUUGCUCAUAAGCAGUGUGGAGGGGCAUUUCACUUCUGUAGCCCACUCUGAGCUGACUUAGCGCUUGUAAGAGACUCUUUGCAGGUUUAAUCCUCUAUGUCUGGGCAGUAAUUGUGACGGUUGUCACAGUGAGUCCCAAACCAGGGGGUGAAGAGGCCAAACGGUCCUGCUUUGUUGAGGUUAUUUGAAUGUUGGGCUUGUCUAUGCUGAAUUGAGCUCAGGCAGUUGGUCUGGUGUAUAGCCUGGUUCUGUGGUAUCAGUGUGCCUGCGGAGAAAGACGUAGUACAAAGAAGUGUUGAAUUGUUCAGGAACCCUUCCUGAUGUAAAGGGCUACUCACUACCUUCUGUGUCACCAAGCGGUUCUUUCAGCCAGCACCUAUGUAUGAAGCAUAAGCAAACGUUCAGGUCUGCUCCUGGAUGUUCCCAGAAACCCAAUGGUUUAGGACUUCCGUUCCAAAAGCAAAAAUACAGGACAAUUCUAAGCCUUGCUCGGAAAUGUACCUGCUUAUCCUCUUUAGCACAUGCCCCAACAUUGGCCUGUGUUAUUUCUUGUAAUAUAAUAGCACAUGCUUUAUUCAAAAGCAAGGAUAUGGUGCAUAAAGCUCUUGAGAACCCUGAGCUAUCGCAUGACUGUGCAAAUGGUUUUCUGCCAUAUCGCUCUGCUUUGCUCUAUUUGAACUGGAAUUUCUUUGCGGGGUCAAUGCUUAUCUGUAACAGGCAGCCUGAUAGGCUGCAUGAAGAGCAAAUGAUGCCUGUCAGACCAGAAAGCACACCAGUUCUUCCUUCCUGAUGGGGAGCACACAAUCACAGCGAGCCUCUGGACAGUCUCAGAAAGGUUAGGACACCAACGGGGGAUCUGUUUUUGAAGUCGGCAGAACAGGACUGUUGGGAAAGUGUCACACUAGGACACUGAUAUAAAGAAGAAAUCUUUUGAAAAGCACUGGCUUCAUGCCCAACCAUUAUGGAGAAAUUUCCGUAGAGUAGCUGUGUGGACCUUGGUAAUGUGAGCAAGGAGAUAUAUGGUGAUGCCACUCUUAAGUACAAAGAACAUAUCUAAAAGGCUGGGUCGGGGUACAGAGGUCAAAGGCAUUAUGAAAGGACCCACUGACCAUAUCACAGUCACUUUAAAAAGUGAAAUAAUGCUUAGCUUGAGAAGUUGCGGAAGAGCCCCAGUUUCAAGUCCAUAUUUUCAGUCAUGUGCUGUUGAAUCCUGUGACGGCAAAAUAAAAUGAGCACUAAAUAUUUUGCUCAAAAAGUGGUUUAAGAACAACCCUCCAGCUUUUUAGCCAGCAUCCUCAGUAUGAUGCAUGUUUGCACUUCUCUAAGGAAAAACUGUGAUUGCUUGAAAUAAGUUCUUCUACUUCUUCUAAAGCACAGCUUGAUUUGACACUUGAGACAGAAGUUCUCUGUCCAGUCUGGCGAUGCGGCAUUGCCCCACGGGACAUCAGGCUUAUUACUUCAGGGUCCCUACAACAGAAUUGCCAACAACCAAACUGCCAUCUAAACAGUUCUUAGGACUGGCAAGUAAGCACCACGCAGCCACUCGCUGUGCCCCAGUGGAAUGGGGGAGAGAAUGGGAAGGAUAAAAGUGCAAAAACUCGUGGGCUGGGAUAAGGACAGUUCAACGGGCAAAGCCAAAGCGGCGUGCCCAAGCAGAGCCACCCGAGGAAUCCCUUCCCCCUGCCACGGCAGGCAGGGGCUCAGCCCCCCCAGGGCAGCAGGGCUCAGCACGCGGGACGGGGCUGGGGAAGGCAAACGCCAUCGCUCCCAGCGUGUCCCCCCUCCUGCUUGCCCAGCUUUAUGUGCGGAGCGUGGUGUUACAUGGUCUGGGAUAUCCCCUUGGGCAGCGGGGGGCAGCUGUCCCGGCCGUGCCCCCCAGCCAGCUCGCUGCUUGGAAGUAAGGAGCAAUAACAAAAGCUUCCCUGUGUUACUAACACUGUUUCCAGCACAAAUCCAAAACGUAGCCCUGUAUUAGCUGCUAUGAAGAAAAUUAACUCUACCCCAGCCAAAACCAGCUCAAGCCCACAAACUGCAUCAGAAGCAGGUAGGUGACAUCAAGGGAGACGCAGAAGCAGCUGCUGCUGAAGGAGGUGCAGCAAAAGACAUCAGUGAUUCAAUGACGCUCAUCGAAAUGAAUAGUCUGUAAAUCUGUACUCGUGCAGUACCUGUUGCAGACAAACAAGGUGGCACGUGGGCAGCAAAAGAAGCAAGGACAAUAGCUGAGGCUCUUGGGCUCGGUAAAGAGGCUGGGCUCCAAGAGAAACGUGCCAUUCGGUAACUACUUGCACUCAACUAACCCCAUUACAUUAUAAGCAAAAAAAAAAAAAAAAAAAAAUUAAAUUCAAGUAAAAGCCAGGGAAAGCCCUAGGGAAAGUUCCGAGUUAAAAUGCUGAAAGCUUGUAAUGAGUCCUUUGAUUUUAGAAGUUGUACACAGCUCCAGCAAACCCUGGGCCUGUGAAGCGUGUCCUGACAAAAUAGAAUAAAAUGCAGGUUUUGCCCUUAGGCAAAAGAAAAAUAAAUAGGAAGUUGAAUUGAUUUCUAGCAAAUGUAACAAAUCUACGUAACUUGUAUCUGAAUUAUCAGAAAAGGGAGGAAAAUAUUCAGGCCCUGCCUUCAGAAAUAUAGGAGUGCUUAAUUAGAUGGCUGGGAUGAACAUUAGCGACUCUGCACCGCCUGCCGGGAGGGAUUACCGCACCGCUGUCUGCACGACCACCACGGGGAUGCCAGGCUCUGCCUGAACAACCACAGCCUCAUUUUGCAUGUAGAGAGUGAACGGAAGUUUUCCAGGCCAGUCAAAGUGCAAAUAAGUGUGAUUCAUCAUAGCAGGUGGAUAGCGUAUCAAUAGAAUAUCAGGUUGAUAUCGUAUCAAUACAAUAUCAGGUGGAUAUUGUAUCAAUAUAAUAUCAGGUGGAUAUUGUAUCAAUAUAAUAUUAGGUGGAUAUCGUAUCAAUAUAAUAUCAUGUAGAAAUCCAUAUCAUAUCAGGUAAAUAUAUAAAUAUAAUAUCAGGUAGAUUUCGUAUCAAUAUAGUAUCAGGUGGAUAUCAAUAUACUAUCAGGUAGAUAUCAUAUCAAUAUACUAUCAGGUGGAUAUCGUAUCAAUAUAAUAUUUUAUUUUCCCUAAUGUAGCAACAAGCCAAAUGUGACUUUGUGGUUUGGAAUCUGGAGUGUUAGAUUUCAGCCAUAAUACACUGACAUUAAAUCUGUACAUAAAUGCCAUUUAAGGACAAGAAGCAGGUAGACUUUGCUGGCGUAGCUUUCUGGUAAACAGAAUGAAUUUUCAGAUCUCUGAGGAGCAUGGUGUAAUAACUGAUAAAUGAGAGGCUGAAUUAUUCAAGUGCCAUUUUUUACCGUAAUGUGCAUCAUCAGAUUUUUUAUUCUUGUCUUUGAACAAAGAGGUGAGGCAAGGGAGCUGGGACCAAAAAGCUGCAACUGCCGUGGCACUAACAAGAAGUGCUUUCACUUUUGGUUUUCUCUGGACAUGGGCAGUUAAAAAGGUGGUAUUCGUUUUGCGAAAUAUUAACUAGAUUACUUCAGAUGUGCUUCUCAUUUAAUUAAAAUUUCUAGCUGGGGGUAGGUCAGAACAUCGUCUCAUCGAUGCUGAGGCAAGAAGCAGGUAUAAACUGAUUUAUUGCUGUAAUUCUGUGCCUGCCUUGGUCCAUCCGUUUCCCGAAGUCAUAUGGCAGCCGAACUGCACCUAAUGGUGAGUUGCUGGAGGGGAUUUUUGAUCUCAAAACUCCACGGAUUGUGAUCAGGAAUUCCACCAUGCUGUUGCUUGUGUAGCAGCAGAUUUACACAACAGCAACAACAAAAUACACUUGUUGAUCUAAACCACUCCUCCUUAGGCUGUUCGGGGCUGGAGGGUAAGCCAGCCAGAAGUGCUCGGUACACCAGCAACAACUGGAGCCUGACUGGUUUCACCUGGCAGCACGGGACAGCAAAUGCCACGAGCACCAGGCACCUGUGACACAGGUUGGUGUGAGGGAACGUUCAAGCCCACUUCUGAGGACAGGGCACUGGUAGCAUCUCAGCGUGGAGGCAUCUGCUAAAGCUCCUUCUUGCUAUGAAAUUUGCCAUUGUAGGUGUCCAAACCAGGUGAUUAGUCUUGGAGGAAGAUCAGGGAUAUCAGAAGAAUUAAAUGUAGCGCUUGAAAACCCGCUGUGCCGGGCUGUUGCGUCGCUGUUGGGGCUCUGUGUGGGUGUGCAGCCCAGCACAUGGAACGUGGCAUUCUGCACAACAGGAGGGAGAAGGGUACCUGGGCUGGGUGAUGUCCUCCUGCUGCUGCAGUGCGUGUGCAUGCUUAAGCACGUGUCACCGCAUCACCUGACAGUCAGCUGAGGUCAAGGGGCUUGCUUUUUAAACAUGGUGUUGCUGCUUAUGUGGUUUAAAGCUUAAGUUUCCUUUCUUAAUCUAUCCAAGAAUUUACUAAUUAUAUCUUACAGUUGACAUGUCAUGUUUUCCCACUGAAACCUGAAAUACAAAAUUUUGAGUCAGCAGGACUUGUUUAUGGUGUUUGUAUGAAUUAUCUUUACACCACAAGGGUCUCUGGUCCCCUUUGGGUACUGUAAAGAAAUGAGCAACAUGGAGAGAUUUGUGUAGGACUUCAUGGAAUUCACUUGUGAUCAUUACUCUGGGGUUCUACAAUCAUUUCUCCCAGUCGUCUAUACCAUCGUGGUUGACGAGCGUGCUAACAAAUGGCUAUCACCAAGCCUGAACAAGCUGGACCCGCUCUUUGGAUGACAGAAUCUGAACUGCCUGCCUGAGGCGUAGCACGGGGUGCUUGACUUCAGCUUCUCCUUCAUGUUGUUGCCGUGGAAUCACCCUUGUGCAAAUCGGAAACCUCUGACUUGACGUUAGGGACGUGGCGUAGCUUUGCAGCGCAGCGGUGAGUGGCAGAACAGCUUUGCUGUGUGACCACAAACAAUUUUUUUUUGCUUGAUAACUUUAUCCCUACUGUUGUGUCUUCAUGAUAACAUUUGUCCGUAUCUCCUGUUGGAACACAGUGUGCUCACAUAAUGAUAACACAUACCACUAUUUAAAAGUAUAUUAACUGAUAUAUAUAGUAUAUCAUAAGUAUAUAUACUAUAUUUAUAUAGUACAUACCAUAAGUAUAUAUGAGAGAGGAUUAUAUCAUGCGCCGGUCUUCUUGGUGGGUUGGAACAGAUCGAGCUUCUUAGUAGAAGAAGCUACUAGUGUUCUCUCGUCCUAAUUCCAUAGCGUUUUUAGAGCUGAUAUCCAACUGCAGCCCAAACAGACAGAAUAAUUAUCCAAAAAGCUAAGCCUGAUCUUUCAUCAUGAUAACGAUCACACUGCUUUCCAUUAAGGAAAUAAUGUUAUUCAGGAGGUGACUAAAUGCCAGCCUCUCUGAUAGCGUAGCAGACCCCUGUGAUCUUGAACCUACUUUUGCUUUGCGCAUCACCCUCCACCUACACUAGCGUUUCUGCAAGUAGCAAUCCUGAAUAGUACUGUAGAUUGGAAAACUGAUUUAUAUUUUAGCACUUUUAAAAGAUGUUCAUUUAAAAUGGAAGGAGAAAAAAAAAUAUCUCUACUGAUUUAAGAUGUUGGAUAACAUAUCCCUCCAUGCCUUUAGCAAGAUGAUGUCUAGCAGUGAACUCACCAACGCUGAUUGAUCACACAGACACCCAGCAAUUGUGAACGGCUAAUUAACCCUUCAGUUAAGCAUUUCUAAUCAGACAAAACAACCUGAUUAUAGGUACUACAUCCUGAGAGUACAGGGGCUGCAUGGUAGUCCAGUGAGCCCCUAAUGAGCUAAAUCACUUUAUUUUAGGAGAGAACAUACAAGAGUAACCAGCUGGCUGUAUUUGCAGCAUUGACUGCGAAGAAACUGAAGAGAUCUGGUGAAGCACAAGCUUGCAUUGUGACCCAAGGGGUAAAUAAGCAAUAUAAAUAUGGCUAUGAUUUUUUAGGUAUGUGUACGUAUGUGUGUGUAUGUAUAUAUGUGUAUAUAUACACACACACACACAUAUAUAUAUACACACACACAUAUGUGUGUAUAUAUAUAUAUAUAUAUGUAUCACGUCUGAUAUAUAAAGAACUGGAAGCUAGCCACUUGGUAGCUGUGAAUUCUUGCCCAGUUAGCAAUGCAAACACUUAAUAGGGUUGUUAAUGUUUGAUUAAUCGUUAUUAUAUAGACUCACAGUGCCAUCUAGAGACCGCGUCCAGAUUUUGAACAGCUUUCAGACCUGAUGUUAGAGGAACAGAGAAGUCUUUAUUGUCAUACUGAAGGUUUCAUACGUUACUCCCGGAGCUCGCUGCCUUUCACAGAAACAAUGCCUUGCUUUGUGGUUAUUAGUAUUAUUCCGUUUUGAACAUGGGCUUAUCGAGUGACAAGCCUUUGUGGGUGUUUCUUUUUGCAACCUGAUCUUAAAUAUGAAAAUGUGAAGAAGACUGGGGACUGGUGGAAGUGGGCUUAAACAAAACUAACCCUGACAAUCAAGCCCAAUCCCUGAUGUGACCUGAACUGCAGCUGUGUUGUUACACUCCAGAAGGCACCAUGCUCUUGCAAGAUAAUCCUUGUGAACUUCCAGGCUAAUGCAGGUGGCACGUGUUUUCCCGUGCUGAGUUUAUUGGGAUGGGGGUAAGGCUCAGAUGGGCAGUGCUUUGUAUUUCCAGCCUUUCUGGUGAGGCUUGUACUGGGCAGCCUGCCUGCUCGCUGCUGGCCAACAUGCUGUUUUCAAGCACACAGCUUCACAGCCGUUGCGAGAAAGGGGAUGCUGCAGGCACAGCCGAGCAAGCCUCUGGGGAGCCUUACUUCUGCUCUGUGCUGUAGGGAAAAAAUACUUGGCAAAAGCCACUUAUCAGAAGGACCAAGGUAAACAAUCUGGGAUGAGCAAUGGAGAGAAAUAACACAUUUUUUAAAAAUUUUACUGAUUUUUUUUAUAAAUAUUAAAAAAUGGUUUUUUAUUAAACCCAAGAGACCUAAUUAAUGUCCUGUAAUGACAAGAAACCAGUCUGAAUUUUCCUGAAGCAUGAGUUGAGAUCUGCCACGGUAAACAGUCACAGCUGUGUCAGAAAGUUUGGGAUUCAGGUGGCCCCAGGGUGAAGAGCCAGCGCCAGGAGCUGGGUGGCACGGCAAUGUAGAUCUUCCAUGGCCAUAGCUUGUGUCCUUCAGUCAGGCAUCCAAAAUCCGUUGGGUUAUGUCUCUUGUCUCUGCAGAGAAGGUACAAAUGUUUCAUUUAACCCCCAAAAGGACACUCAGGACCCACAGAGGUGCUGUCAUUUGUGCUUAUCCUUCCCGUUCUUGGCACUUUGAUAGAGAAGGGAGAGGAAGGUUUGAAAGCCUGGGAAGCUGUAUAGAUUAUUUAGGGAAGUCCAGCUAUUCCACUGUACUGGAAAUCCCACGCUCAGCCCUUCUCAGUGCCCGUACAGCAUAUCAAAGCUGAGAUGACAGCUACUCCCAGCCCUCCCAGUUUUUUACUUUACACUGGAUGCUUGAAUAUAUGUGUUGUCUUUGUGUACUGUGCAAGCUUAAAAGCUUCUUUUCUUCCCUUUAAAGUAGAGUGUAAAUGGGGAUCGGGUAGCCAAAUGAUAACAAUAAAAUACUGUGUGGGUUGAAAAAAGAAAAAUCACUGGCAGGCAACACUUGGUCUACCUGGACCCUCAUGCCUCCCAAAAGCACGUCUCUACAUCUUCUUGAACAAAUUGCUCUUCCCUUGGCAGAGGGAGACUCUGCUUCUUGUUGCUCCAGGGAUGAGCAUGUGAGGGUGUUUAGCUAUCACAACCUGGUCUCACUAUGUUGUUUUUGUCCCAUGAAAGGUUUUUUCUCUUCUGGAAAUGAAGGCAGAAUGGUGCGAGGAGCUUGGUGACUACCCCAGCCGAC
Long non-coding RNA from Falco peregrinus (peregrine falcon), 9482 nucleotides. RefSeq lists it as uncharacterized. The transcript has 4 exons. The record is from RefSeq and is a predicted model, not a curated record. Lineage: Eukaryota; Metazoa; Chordata; Aves; Falconiformes; Falconidae.